RNAcentral lists this ribosomal RNA (723 nucleotides) under uncultured bacterium. RNAcentral's name for it is "bacterial SSU rRNA". It matches the Rfam family "Bacterial small subunit ribosomal RNA", at positions 38 to 773 of the family's 1533-position model. The record is from RNAcentral.
GGCGGCGUGCUUAACACAUGCAAGUCGAACGGUGAAGCCCCGCUUGCGGGGUGGAUCAGUGGCGAACGGGUGAGUAACACGUGAGCAACCUGCCCCUGACUCUGGGAUAAGCGCUGGAAACGGCGUCUAAUACUGGAUACGAGACGUGAUCGCAUGGUCAACGUUUGGAAAGAUUUUUCGGUUGGGGAUGGGCUCGCGGCCUAUCAGCUUGUUGGUGAGGUAAUGGCUCACCAAGGCGUCGACGGGUAGCCGGCCUGAGAGGGUGACCGGCCACACUGGGACUGAGACACGGCCCAGACUCCUACGGGAGGCAGCAGUGGGGAAUAUUGCACAAUGGGCGCAAGCCUGAUGCAGCAACGCCGCGUGAGGGAUGACGGCCUUCGGGUUGUAAACCUCUUUUAGCAGGGAAGAAGCGAGAGUGACGGUACCUGCAGAAAAAGCACCGGCUAACUACGUGCCAGCAGCCGCGGUAAUACGUAGGGUGCAAGCGUUAUCCGGAAUUAUUGGGCGUAAAGAGCUCGUAGGCGGUUUGUCGCGUCUGCUGUGAAAUCUGGGGGCUCAACCCCCAGCCUGCAGUGGGUACGGGCAGACUAGAGUGCGGUAGGGGAGAUUGGAAUUCCUGGUGUAGCGGUGGAAUGCGCAGAUAUCAGGAGGAACACCGAUGGCGAAGGCAGAUCUCUGGGCCGUAACUGACGCUGAGGAGCGAAAGGGUGGGGAGCAAAC